CCCCUAGAUGUUCUGGGCCGCACGCGCGCUACACUGAACAGUUCAACAAGUCUUAACCUUGGCCGAUAGGUCUGGGUAAUCUUUGAACGCUGUUCGUGAUUGGGAUAGACCUUUGCAAUUAUGGGUCUUCAACGAGGAAUUCCUAGUAAACGCAAGUCAUCAGCUUGCAUUGAUUACGUCCCUGCCCUUUGUACACACCGCCCGUCGCACCUACCGAUUGAAUGGUCCGGUGAAUAAUUCGGACUGCGGCAUUGACCGGUUCCCGAUCGUUGCUGCGGAAAGUUUAGUGAACCUUAUCACUUAGAGGAAGGAGAAGUCGUAACA
Molecule: ribosomal RNA, 324 nt
Filed under: uncultured eukaryote
Lineage: Eukaryota
Description: partial 18S ribosomal RNA
Rfam family: Eukaryotic small subunit ribosomal RNA
Source: RNAcentral